This 2770-nucleotide long non-coding RNA is filed under the name Homo sapiens (human). RNAcentral's name for it is "HSALNT0342687". Lineage: Eukaryota; Metazoa; Chordata; Mammalia; Primates; Hominidae. The record is from RNAcentral.
AGUAUUUUUGUUGCUGGCUCAUCCUUCUUGUCUUCUCAGAUGUCAGCCUCCUAUCCGUGGCCUGUGGGCUACUUGGCGGACCCUCUAGAAAUGUACCUCGACAGUUGUUCAUGUCUUUUAACAAUUUCUUUUAUAUUGUUGAGCAGAUGGAACAAUUAUUUAAGUCUAUUUUCAUUCCUCAUACCCCACAAAUCUACACAAGUGUUUAGUGACAUAAGUGUAAAUAUUAUUGAAACAUCAAAAUAUCUUGCUGUCUGCAUCCAGUUGCUAGUUCACAGCAUUCAGGUGACAGUGGCUGUAUUUGUAGAGCCUGAGGAAAAUGACAUAAGAUGUUUUCUUUGACAGUGGUUGUCUUACGUAUUUGGAUAUACCCAUUGUGUAAAUAUGCGUUGAACGAAGGAGCUGUGUCAUCCACAUCUAACAGAGGUGAAAACAAAAGUCUACCAUAAGGUCUGUCUGCCUUUAGCCAAAUGGGAAGUGAUGUUUCUGCACAUUGUCACAAGUGCGUAGCCAACCAUAACCUCUUCUUGAGCAACUUAAGCUGGCACAGGAAAUCUGAGACAUGACUAAAUGACGUGUCAGGAAAGAAGAAUUUCUGAAAUGUUGUUUAAACAAAAACUGGCAGAUAUGUAACAUUUCUCUAUCAAUGCAAGAAAUCAUCCUACAUGAAAAAGGAAGCUCAAAAUUUUGUUUAUGUAAAAACUUUUUUAAAUUACUUGAGUUUUGUUAACAUUUAUCCUUUUACAUAGGGUUGCUAAAGUUAGCGAAUAAAUUAUAGGAUACCCAGUUAAAAUUUAAUUUCAGGUAAACAACAAAUAGAUUUUUAGUAUAAGUAGGUCCCAUGAAAUGUUUAUGACAUAUAUAUACUAAAAACUCAUUCAUUAUUUAAUCUAAAAUUUAUAUUUAGCUUGGCAUCCUAUAUUUUGUCUGGCAACCCUCCUUUUAAGAAAAUCUAAUAAUCCAUAUUUACCUGAUAGGUAAAUUAGAAUACUGAUUCUUUUUUGAAUGAAAAUAAUGUAUUUUUUUAAAUUUUUCUAACUUUAGUUCCUCUAAUAGAAAUUAAUUUAGAUAACUAAGGAACCAUAGGAAUUUAAAAGCUGACCUAUCAGAAAUAACUUCAGCUAUAUUACAUUAAAAAUGAAGAGAUGGAAUCUGAAAUAGGAAAGUAAGAUUUAUACCCAUUAUUCAGCCAAAAUCUGUUUUUCUUUAACUUCUACCCAUUGUUCCUAAGUCUGCCCUCUGGGGGCUGUAGAAAAUAAUGAAGAUGAUGUUAUUAAUGAUAACCAGUGCUUGCUGUAACCAGUUAUGUGCAUUAUUUUAUUGGAUUUAAUUUGUUUACUCUUUAUAACAGCAUGUGAGGGAGGUGCUUUUCUGAUUUCCAUUCUACAAAAUAAGAAACUAAAGCACAGAGUAGUUGAUUAGCUUAACCAUAACCACAUCUCUUUGUCAACUCUUAAAGUACCAGAGCUUUCAUAGUUUUAAAGUUCCCAAUUCCUUCUACCAUUUCUUUUAGUACAGGGUCUCUAGACCCUUUCCUGUCCUCAUUCAACUCUCAGCUUGUUGUGGCUUGUCAGUGCCCUGAAAUAUGUUAUGGCCAAAAUUUAAAAGUAUACUUCAUAGAUCAUAUAAUUUACAAGUAGAGUACAGCAGGAUUUUUAAUGGCCUUGGUACUAAAGUUAUAUUGCCAAUAGUGACCCAUGGAUUAGCUGAGUUUUGUUUCGUUCUAGUUUUUGAAUGGGGAAUGUACUUUUACAUAAUACAGUUGGCUCAGGUUGACCUUUUAGUCAGGUGAAACUUCCAGGUUCUUAUCUGUACUAAAUGCAGACGUUCCUAUGCCUCUGCUUUCUUCCCAGUUGGCUUGAGUAGAUGUCCAAGGGAUUGACAUCAGCAUGUCUAUAUUGUUUGACCAUUUCAGCUUUGGGGAAGAAGAAGGAGCCCAGCUAUGUUGUGUUUUUUGCUAGUAUGAUGUUGGGCUAACUUUUAUAGCAUUUUUCCUUUUUGGAUAACUUAAUUUACCACGUAAUUGUCCAUGCUGGGGUGGAGCAAAGAUUUAUCCAAAAGGUUACUUUUAUUAGAAAAGUGUACUGCUUUAGGGUUUUGAAUUUCUGACUACUGGCUGACAGUAACCUUAUUUGCUGAGUAUCAGUUGUCGUUCAGUUACUCUUUCCCUGUCUCAUUGGCUUUUCUCUCCCUGUUUCCCAUUUUGACUUUAUACUGAAUAAAAUCAAACGUCUAAGUACUCUACUUACUAUAUACACCUUGCCAUUUAUAUGUAACAAGUCUCUUGCAGGAAAGUGUUCAAAUGAUGCGAUCUUUGUUUUAUGCUAUUGGAAAAUAUACUUGUCAACCUUAAGAAAUAGUAUAUUCAGUCAACGCUUCAUUAAAUGUAGUAUUCUUUCCUGAAAAAUAAAACCCAGUGCUCUGUUUAGUUCUUACCUACAUUAUAGUCUGCAAAUAAGACAUAUGACAAAUUGGUUCCCUCCAGUUAUCACCCAAUGAGAAUGUAAAAUACUUCAUCUUCUCUCUAGUAUAUUUUUUACUCCUUUAAAACUUAGCUGAAGUCGUACCUUCUUAGAGUUCACCACCCUGGCUGAAUCAUACCUAUCCUCCUCUCUCUUCCCUAUCUCAGAUUGCUUUUAAUUGCCCUGGCCAGCCAUCCAGAAAGAAGCACUGUCUUAAUGGCCUUUCUGACCAGGACCUCGAUGUCAGGAUGUUGAUGGGUUGGUUUGUCUGGUAUCAUGGCAGUAGCCAGUUCAAAUCUAGGAGUAGG